UACGGAGGGUGCAAGCGUUAUCCGGAUUCACUGGGUUUAAAGGGAGCGUAGGCGGGCAUUUAAGUCCGUGGUGAAAGCCCUCAGCUCAACUGAGGAACUGCCAUGGAUACUAAGUGUCUUGAAUAUCGUUGAGGUUUGCGGAAUGGGUCAUGUAGCGGUGAAAUGCAUAGAUAUGACCCGGAACACCAAUUGCGAAGGCAGCAGGCUAAACGAAGAUUGACGCUGAGGCUCGAAAGCGUGGGGAUCAAACAGG
This 253-nucleotide ribosomal RNA is filed under the name uncultured bacterium. RNAcentral's name for it is "partial 16S ribosomal RNA". It matches the Rfam family "Bacterial small subunit ribosomal RNA", at positions 524 to 776 of the family's 1533-position model. The record is from RNAcentral.